AGCGAACGCUGGCGGCAGGCUUAACACAUGCAAGUCGAGCGGGCAUCUUCGGAUGUCAGCGGCAGACGGGUGAGUAACCCGUGGGAACGUACCCUUCGGUUCGGAACAACUCUGGGAAACUGGAGCUAAUACCGGAUACGCCCUUAUGGGGAAAGGUUUACUGCCGAAGGAUCGGCCCGCGUCUGAUUAGCUAGUUGGUGGGGUAACGGCCUACCAAGGCGACGAUCAGUAGCUGGUCUGAGAGGAUGAUCAGCCACACUGGGACUGAGACACGGCCCAGACUCCUACGGGAGGCAGCAGCGGGGAAUAUUGGACAAUGGGCGCAAGCCUGAUCCAGCCAUGCCGCGUGAGUGAUGAAGGCCUUAGGGUUGUAAAGCUCUUUUGUCCGGGACGAUAAUGACGGUACCGGAAGAAUAAGCCCCGGCUAACUUCGUG
This 435-nucleotide ribosomal RNA is filed under the name uncultured bacterium. RNAcentral's name for it is "partial 16S ribosomal RNA". It matches the Rfam family "Bacterial small subunit ribosomal RNA", at positions 29 to 507 of the family's 1533-position model. The record is from RNAcentral.